UCCCUGCUGGCUCAGAUGGGAGAGUAUCUGCCUGCAAUGUGGGAGACCUGGGUUCAAUCCCUGGGCCAGGAA
RNAcentral lists this transfer RNA (72 nucleotides) under Bos taurus (domestic cattle). It matches the Rfam family "tRNA". Rfam says of the family: Transfer RNA (tRNA) molecules are approximately 80 nucleotides in length. RNAcentral also lists the same sequence under 2 other names. Lineage: Eukaryota; Metazoa; Chordata; Mammalia; Artiodactyla; Bovidae. The record is from Rfam by way of RNAcentral.